This 66-nucleotide transfer RNA is filed under the name Ruspolia sp. ZJZ-2017. RNAcentral describes it as "tRNA-Trp". Lineage: Eukaryota; Metazoa; Arthropoda; Insecta; Orthoptera; Tettigoniidae. The record is from RNAcentral.
AAGGUUUUAAGUUAAACAAACUAAUAGCCUUCAAAGCUGUCAAUAAAAGCCAAUUUUUAAACCUUA